GUAAAAGUCGUAACAAGGUUUCCGUAGGUGAACCUGCGGAAGGAUCAUUAGCGAGAGGAGGGGGCCCCGCGCCCCCCGGCUCUUCCCCCCGUGCCUACCUACCUUCGUUGCUUUGGCGGGCCCCGGGGUUCGCCCCGCGCCGGUCUCGAGCGAAACAGCGCCCGUUGGAAGGAGCGAGCGGCCGCCAGAAAGCCCUUAGCAAACUCCGCAUGAAGCGAUAACGUCCGAGGCGAGAUUGUACAGAAUUGUGAAAAAAAAAACUUUCAACAACGGAUCUCUUGGUUCUGGCAUCGAUGAAGAACGCAGCGAAAUGCGAAAAGUAAUGUGAAUUGCAGAAUUCAGUGAAUCAUCGAAUCUUUGAACGCACAUUGCGCCCCUUGGUAUUCCGGGGGGCAUGCCUGUUCGAGCGUCAUUGCACCCCUCAAGCGUAGCUUGGUAUUGGGUCGUUCGCCCCCGGGGCGUGCCCGAAAGCGAGUGGCGGUCCCGCGCGACUUCGAGCGUAGUAAACAACCUUCCCGCUCCGAGGGUCUCGCGGCGCGACCAGCUGGAAUACACGAACCCCUUGACGAUUGACCUCGGAUCAGGCAGGGAUACCCGCUGAACUUAAGCAUAUCAAUAAGCGGAGGAAAAGAAACCAAACAGGGAUUGCCUCGGUAACGGCGAGUGAA
Molecule: unclassified non-coding RNA, 668 nt
Filed under: Lecanoraceae sp. KWS 27
Lineage: Eukaryota; Fungi; Ascomycota; Lecanoromycetes; Lecanorales; Lecanoraceae
Description: partial contains 18S rRNA, ITS1, 5.8S rRNA, ITS2 and 28S rRNA
Rfam family: 5.8S ribosomal RNA (bases 259-412)
Source: RNAcentral